This 253-nucleotide ribosomal RNA is filed under the name uncultured bacterium. RNAcentral describes it as "partial 16S ribosomal RNA". It matches the Rfam family "Bacterial small subunit ribosomal RNA", at positions 524 to 776 of the family's 1533-position model. The record is from RNAcentral.
UACGUAGGUGGCAAGCGUUGUCCGGAUUUACUGGGCGUAAAGAGCGCGCAGGCGGUCGUUCAAGUCGCGUGUGAAAGCCCCCGGCUCAACUGGGGAGGGUCACGCGAUACUGAUCGACUCGAAGGCAGGAGAGGGUAGUGGAAUUCCCGGUGUAGUGGUGAAAUGCGUAGAUAUCGUAAGGAAGACCAGUGGCGAAGGCGGGUCUCUGGACAGUUCCUGACGCUGAGGCACGAAGGCCAGGGGAGCAAACGGG